UGAGUGGAGACUUUAAAAGAGAGAGC
This 26-nucleotide non-coding RNA is filed under the name Rattus norvegicus (Norway rat). Lineage: Eukaryota; Metazoa; Chordata; Mammalia; Rodentia; Muridae. The record is from RNAcentral.